This 598-nucleotide ribosomal RNA is filed under the name uncultured Bacillota bacterium. Its description in RNAcentral is "bacterial SSU rRNA". It matches the Rfam family "Bacterial small subunit ribosomal RNA", at positions 97 to 671 of the family's 1533-position model. The record is from RNAcentral. Lineage: Bacteria; Bacillati; Bacillota.
GGCAAACGGGUGAGUAACACGUAAGCAAUCUACCUCAAAGUUCGGGAUAACCCUGCCAACGCGGGGCUAAUACCGGAUGUGGUGCAAUGGCCGCAUGGUCGUUGUAUUAAAGAAGACCUCUACAUGUAAGUUUUCGCUUGGAGAUGAGCUUGCGGCCCAUUAGCUAGUUGGCGGGGUAACGGCCCACCAAGGCUGUGAUGGGUAGCCGGCCUGAGAGGGCGAACGGCCACAUUGGGACUGAGAAACGGCCCAGACUCCUUCGGGAGGCAGCAGUAGGGAAUUUUGCGCAAUGGACGUAAGUCUGACGCAGCAACGCCGCGUGAGUGAUGAAGGUCUUCGGAUUGUAAAGCUCUGUUGAGUGGGAAGAAAAGUCACGGUUCUAAUAAAGCCGGGGCCUGACGGUACCGCUCGAGGAAGCACCGGCUAACUACGUGCCAGCAGCCGCGGUAAUACGUAGGGUGCAAGCGUUGUUCGGAAUCACUGGGCGUAAAGGGAGCGUAGGCGGAACCGUAAGUUAGAAGUUUAAUACCCGGGCUUAACCCGGGGCUUGCUUUUAAUACUGCGGUCCUUGAGUUUGGAAGAGGGAGAUGGAAUUCCA